RNAcentral lists this ribosomal RNA (609 nucleotides) under Rhizobium sp. RNAcentral describes it as "bacterial SSU rRNA". It matches the Rfam family "Bacterial small subunit ribosomal RNA", at positions 104 to 748 of the family's 1533-position model. The record is from RNAcentral. Lineage: Bacteria; Pseudomonadati; Pseudomonadota; Alphaproteobacteria; Hyphomicrobiales; Rhizobiaceae.
GGGUGAGUAACGCGUGGGAAUCUACCUUUUGCUACGGAAUAACGCAGGGAAACUUGUGCUAAUACCGUAUGUGUCCUUCGGGAGAAAGAUUUAUCGGCAAGAGAUGAGCCCGCGUUGGAUUAGCUAGUUGGUGGGGUAAAGGCCUACCAAGGCGACGAUCCAUAGCUGGUCUGAGAGGAUGAUCAGCCACAUUGGGACUGAGACACGGCCCAAACUCCUACGGGAGGCAGCAGUGGGGAAUAUUGGACAAUGGGCGCAAGCCUGAUCCAGCCAUGCCGCGUGAGUGAUGAAGGCCCUAGGGUUGUAAAGCUCUUUCACCGGAGAAGAUAAUGACGGUAUCCGGAGAAGAAGCCCCGGCUAACUUCGUGCCAGCAGCCGCGGUAAUACGAAGGGGGCUAGCGUUGUUCGGAAUUACUGGGCGUAAAGCGCACGUAGGCGGAUCGAUCAGUCAGGGGUGAAAUCCCAGGGCUCAACCCUGGAACUGCCUUUGAUACUGUCGAUCUGGAGUAUGGAAGAGGUGAGUGGAAUUCCGAGUGUAGAGGUGAAAUUCGUAGAUAUUCGGAGGAACACCAGUGGCGAAGGCGGCUCACUGGUCCAUUACUGACGCUG